CGCGGGGUGGAGCAGUUUGGUAGCUCGUCGGGCUCAUAACCCGAAGGUCGUUGGUUCAAAUCCANCCCCCGCCACCA
This 77-nucleotide transfer RNA is filed under the name Gammaproteobacteria bacterium. Its description in RNAcentral is "tRNA-Met". It matches the Rfam family "tRNA". Rfam says of the family: Transfer RNA (tRNA) molecules are approximately 80 nucleotides in length. Their secondary structure includes four short double-helical elements and three loops (D, anti-codon, and T loops). The record is from RNAcentral. Lineage: Bacteria; Pseudomonadati; Pseudomonadota; Gammaproteobacteria.